RNAcentral lists this ribosomal RNA (325 nucleotides) under uncultured eukaryote. Its description in RNAcentral is "partial 18S ribosomal RNA". It matches the Rfam family "Eukaryotic small subunit ribosomal RNA", at positions 1470 to 1796 of the family's 1831-position model. The record is from RNAcentral.
CCCUUAGAUGUUCUGGGCUGCACGCGCGCUACACUGGUGCGUUCAGCGAGUUUAGCACCUUAACAGAUAUGUUUGGGUAAUCUUCUGAAAACGCACCGUGAUGGGGAUCGAUUAUUGUAAUUAUUAAUCGUCAACGAGGAAUUCCUAGUAAGUGUGAAUCAUCAGUUCGCGCUGAUUACGUCCCUGCCCUUUGUACACACCGCCCGUCGCUGCUACCGAUUGAGCGGUCCGGUGAAUUAUUCGGACCGGUGGACUGUGGGGAAACCCGCGGCCUGCUGGGAAGUCUUGUGAACCUUAUCACUUAGAGGAAGCAGAAGUCGUAACA